CUCAUAGCCUUCCACUAGGUGGCUGUAUGUACAUCUGUAGUUGCUUGCAAUCUUAUCAAUAAUGAUAAGAAGAAGUUAUCUUAUAAUUUUAUUUUUAAUUAAAAAAGUUAAAAAUAAAAAUACGGAUGGAUUUGCUCAUAUGAUUAUAUGAAAAUCUGUGUUUGUACCAUAUGAAAAUGUUUAAUAUUUGUAUUAGUAGUAAUAAUAAUAAAUUACGGAUUGCACCCGACAAAACAUUAGAGAAGAAGAAGAAGCUUACGUCAUUCGACGCGACACUUUCCACGGUCGGAGCUGAUCCGGAUCACAUACACAGGAGUCACUCAUUGAAGAUGAAUCACAUGGUUAGGCUGGACAGGGAUCUUG
Molecule: long non-coding RNA, 363 nt
Organism: Gambusia affinis (western mosquitofish)
Lineage: Eukaryota; Metazoa; Chordata; Actinopteri; Cyprinodontiformes; Poeciliidae
Exons: 3
Source: RefSeq, a predicted model, not a curated record